RNAcentral lists this non-coding RNA (24 nucleotides) under Arabidopsis thaliana (thale cress). Lineage: Eukaryota; Viridiplantae; Streptophyta; Magnoliopsida; Brassicales; Brassicaceae. The record is from RNAcentral.
GUCGUUAGCUCAAUUGGUAAAGAC